Centruroides sculpturatus (bark scorpion) is the source of this 250-nucleotide long non-coding RNA. RefSeq lists it as uncharacterized. The transcript is spliced from 3 exons. The record is from RefSeq and is a predicted model, not a curated record. NCBI's taxonomy places the organism in Eukaryota, Metazoa, Arthropoda, Arachnida, Scorpiones, Buthidae.
AGCGUUCUUUCGAAAGUGUUUGUUUGCGAUUUUCUAGUGAGAAAAUGAAGAAAGAAAGUUAUGAUAGAUGUGAUGGCGCUGAACCGGACGGUCAGCAAAAUCAGAAUUAUUGGAUUAAUAAUGAUUUCUAUGAUUUGCCCGCCAAUGAGUGUUUCUCCGCUUACAAAGGAGAUUCAUCAUUCGAGGUGAACAAACCUAAGAGAGAUUUAAAAAUUGGAGGAUUUAAACACUUUUUCAAAAAUAUAUUUUG